AGAGUUUGAUUCUGGCUCAGGAUGAACGCUGGCGGCGUGCUUAACACAUGCAAGUCGAACGAAGCACUUAAGAUUGAUUCUUCGGAUGACGUCUUUUGUGACUUAGUGGCGGACGGGUGAGUAACGCGUGGGUAACCUGCCUCACACAGGGGGAUAACAGUUAGAAAUGACUGCUAAUACCGCAUAACCCGAUAGGAUCGCAUGAUCCAGACGGAAAAGAUUUAUCGGUGUGAGAUGGACCCGCGUCUGAUUAGCUAGUUGGUGAGGUAACGGCCCACCAAGGCGACGAUCAGUAGCCGGCCUGAGAGGGUGAACGGCCACAUUGGGACUGAGACACGGCCCAA
This 344-nucleotide ribosomal RNA is filed under the name uncultured bacterium. Its description in RNAcentral is "bacterial SSU rRNA". It matches the Rfam family "Bacterial small subunit ribosomal RNA", at positions 8 to 334 of the family's 1533-position model. The record is from RNAcentral.